Molecule: ribosomal RNA, 301 nt
Filed under: uncultured bacterium
Lineage: Bacteria
Description: partial 16S ribosomal RNA
Rfam family: Bacterial small subunit ribosomal RNA
Source: RNAcentral
CAGUAGCCACGGUAAUACAGAGGAUGCAGGCGUUAUCCGGAAUGAUUGGGCGUAAAGCGUCUGUAGGUGGCUUUUCAAGUCCGCUGUCAAAUCCCAGGGCUCAACCCUGGACAGGCGGUGGAAACUACCAAGCUAGAGUACGGUAGGGGCAGAGGGAAUUUCCAGUGGAGCGGUGAAAUGCGUUGAGAUCGGAAAGAACACCAACGGCGAAAGCACUCUGCUGGGCCGACACUGACACUGAGAGACGAAAGCUAGGGGGGCAAACAGGAUUAGAUACCCCAGUAGUCCCUGUCUCUUAUAA